RNAcentral lists this transfer RNA (86 nucleotides) under Felis catus (domestic cat). It matches the Rfam family "tRNA". Rfam says of the family: Transfer RNA (tRNA) molecules are approximately 80 nucleotides in length. Their secondary structure includes four short double-helical elements and three loops (D, anti-codon, and T loops). Further hydrogen bonds mediate the characteristic L-shaped molecular structure. tRNAs have two regions of fundamental functional importance: the anti-codon, which is responsible for specific mRNA codon recognition, and the 3' end, to which the tRNAs corresponding amino acid is attached (by aminoacyl-tRNA synthetases). tRNAs cope with the degeneracy of the genetic code in two manners: having more than one tRNA (with a specific anti-codon) for a particular amino acid; and 'wobble' base-pairing, i.e. permitting non-standard base-pairing at the 3rd anti-codon position. The record is from Rfam by way of RNAcentral. Lineage: Eukaryota; Metazoa; Chordata; Mammalia; Carnivora; Felidae.
GCCUGGGUGGCUCAGUCGUUUGAGCAUCUGACUUCGGCUCAGGUCACAAUCUCACCCCUCUGUGAGUUCGAGCCCCACAUGGGGCU